Molecule: ribosomal RNA, 455 nt
Filed under: uncultured bacterium
Lineage: Bacteria
Description: SSU rRNA
Rfam family: Bacterial small subunit ribosomal RNA
Source: RNAcentral
AGAGCGAACGCUGGCGGCAUGCUUAACACAUGCAAGUCGCACGGGCAGGGGCAACCCUGUCAGUGGCGGACGGGUGAGUAACGCGUAGGUAUCUAUCCUUGGGUGGGGGACAACCGUGGGAAACUACGGCUAAUACCGCAUGAUGACUGAGGUCCAAAGCCCGCGAGGGUGCCUGGGGAGGAGCCUGCGUACGAUUAGCUAGUUGGUGGGUAAAGGCCUACCAAGGCGAUGAUCGUUAGCUGGUCUGAGAGGAUGAUCAGCCACAUUGGGACUGAGACACGGCCCAAAACUCCUACGGGAGGCAGCAGUGGGGAAUAUUGGACAAUGGGCGCAAGCCUGAUCCAGCAAUGCCGCGUGUGUGAAGAAGGUCUUCGGAUUGUAAAGCACUUUCGACGGGGACGAUGAUGACGGUACCCGUAGAACGAAGCCCCGGCUAACUUCGUGCCAGCAGCCGC